This 1251-nucleotide long non-coding RNA is filed under the name Androctonus crassicauda. The record is from RNAcentral. Lineage: Eukaryota; Metazoa; Arthropoda; Arachnida; Scorpiones; Buthidae.
GUUAAAAAUGGAUUUAUAUUGUUGUUAUCACAAUUGUAUUCUUUUAUCAUUUCCUUUUGUAUAAUCAAUUCUAUUACUAAUAUUGAUGUAUAUUUAUGUACUCUUAUUUAUACUUCAAAAUUAACUUCCAUUAAAUUAUCGAUUAUUAUUGUUAACUUCAGUAAUUAAAACAAACAUAAAUAAAAUGUCAUGGGAAUUGUCUCCAAAGAUAAACAAUGUGAGAGCCGAACUGUGAGAGUGGAGGUUCAACAGGUGUCGGCAAACAUCCAAGUGACAAGAUAUAAAAACGAAUGAAUUAUAGAAGAAUGGAGAAGAACAGAAGAAGGAGAAAAGAAAGAGAAAGAGGAGAAAGUUAGUGAGUGAACGAACAACAAUAACCUAAAUGUAAGUCUUAACAACAGAAAGCAACUCGUUCUGUCAGGGCAGCAAUGGACAUCCAACGGAGACGAUAGACAACAAUGGUGAUGAUAGCUGGGACGGCAGGGAUGAAAAAGACUGCUAUGAUGAUAACUAGAUUAAAUUAAAAGCACUAAGGCAGGAUCUAGUUAAUAAUUUAAUCUAGUUAUUUAAUAUAGUGGCAGUGUAUAGUGUUCAUAGAAUUAGAUAGUGCUAUGAUGAACUGUGUCAAACAUUUCAUGUCAAGUUUGAACAUUUAAUGUUAUAAUUCAAAUGGAUUGUUGAUUCUGAUGAAUUCUCUCUUCCAGGUAUGUGGAAGGCUCGCACACUCUCUCUCUGAAUGGAAAUAACCUGAGCAGUAUAGUUACAUUAGAUUAAGUUAGAGAUUAAUAUAUCCUUAUAAUUAUAAUUUAGAAAUAUUAUAUUCCUUGUCAAUCUCUAUGUUAUUGUAAAAUGCUGUAAAUAACAGCUUUGUGUAUGUUAUUGUUUGUCAAUCAUUCAUUCGUAGAUCCCUGUGAUGCUUGCUCAUGCGCCUGUAUUCGGAAAUUGGCCAAGUGUUCGAGAAACACUUAAAACUUCUAGUGUCAGGACCUGACAAUAGUAUAGUAUUAGCGACCUUACUGUGGGGGUUAUCAAAUGCUAAGAUCCUCCAAAUCGGUGACCUCACAGUUUCCUUCCAACUGUCCAGCUGCGACAUCAAUCCAUUUGUCUCAGGGAAUUUCCUGAGCAAUAAAGUAAUGUUUUAUAUCAGAAAAAAGUCAUUAAUAUUCAGCAUCAUAUUUUGGCAUAGGUAGAGACGGAGCAUUCAUAACAAUAAUUGGUUGGGAGGUUGAAGACAUUUCUGGCUAAGAUGAG